AGUGAACGCUGGCGGUAGGCCUAACACAUGCAAGUCGAACGGCAGCACAGUAAGAGCUUGCUCUUACGGGUGGCGAGUGGCGGACGGGUGAGGAAUACAUCGGAAUCUACUUUUUCGUGGGGGAUAACGCAGGGAAACUUACGCUAAUACCGCAUACGACCUACGGGUGAAAGCAUGGGAUCUUCGGACCUUGCGCGAUUGUAUGAGCCGAUGUCGGAUUAGCCAGUUGGCGGGGUAAAGGCCCACCAAGGCGACGAUCCGUAGCUGGUCUGAGAGGAUGAUCAGCCACACUGGAACUGAGCCACGGUCCAGACUCCUACGGGAGGCAGCAGUGGGGAAUAUUGGACAAUGGGCGCAAGCCUGAUCCAGCCAUACCGCGUGGGUGAAGAAGGCCUUCGGGUUGUAAAGCCCUUUUGUUGGGAAAGAAAAGCAGCAGGUUAAUACCCCGCUGUUCUGACGGUACCCAAAGAAUAAGCACCGGCUAACUUCGUG
Molecule: ribosomal RNA, 492 nt
Filed under: uncultured bacterium
Lineage: Bacteria
Description: partial 16S ribosomal RNA
Rfam family: Bacterial small subunit ribosomal RNA
Source: RNAcentral